AUUGAACGCUGGCGGCAGGCCUAACACAUGCAAGUCGAACGGUAGCACAGAGAGCUUGCUCUCGGGUGACGAGUGGCGGACGGGUGAGUAACGUCUGGGAAACUGCCCGAUGGAGGGGGCUAACUACUGGAAACGGUAGCUAAUACCGCAUAACGUCGCAAGACCAAAGUGGGGGACCUUCGGGCCUCACACCAUCGGAUGUGCCCAGAUGGGAUUAGCUAGUAGGUGGGGUAAUGGCUCAACUAGGCGACGAUCCCUAGCUGGUCUGAGAGGAUGACCAGCCACACUGGAACUGAGACACGGUCCAGACUCCUACGGGAGGCAGCAGUGGGGAAUAUUGCACAAUGGGCGCAAGCCUGAUGCAGCCAUGCCGCGUGUAUGAAGAAGGCCUUCGGGUUGUAAAGUACUUUCAGCGGGGAGGAAGGCGGUGAAGUUAAUAACUUCACCGAUUGACGUUACCCGCAGAAGAAGCACCGGCUAACUCCGUGCCAGCAGCCGCAGUAA
Molecule: ribosomal RNA, 504 nt
Filed under: uncultured bacterium
Lineage: Bacteria
Description: partial 16S ribosomal RNA
Rfam family: Bacterial small subunit ribosomal RNA
Source: RNAcentral